This 292-nucleotide ribosomal RNA is filed under the name uncultured bacterium. RNAcentral's name for it is "partial 16S ribosomal RNA". It matches the Rfam family "Bacterial small subunit ribosomal RNA", at positions 505 to 796 of the family's 1533-position model. The record is from RNAcentral.
GUGCCAGCCGCCGCGGUAAUACAGAGGGUGCAAGCGUUACUCGGAAUUACUGGGCGUAAAGCGCGCGUAGGUGGUUUGUUAAGUUGAAUGUGAAAUCCCCGGGCUCAACCUGGGAACUGCAUGCAAAACUGGCAAGCUAGAGUAUGGUAGAGGGUGGUGGAAUUUCCUGUGUAGCGGUGAAAUGCGUAGAUAUAGGAAGGAACACCAGUGGCGAAGGCGACCACCUGGGCUCAUACUGACACUGAGGUGCGAAAGCGUGGGGAGCAAACAGGAAUAGAUACCCGCGUAGUCC